This 459-nucleotide ribosomal RNA is filed under the name uncultured beta proteobacterium. Its description in RNAcentral is "bacterial SSU rRNA". It matches the Rfam family "Bacterial small subunit ribosomal RNA", at positions 193 to 645 of the family's 1533-position model. Lineage: Bacteria; Pseudomonadati; Pseudomonadota; Betaproteobacteria. The record is from RNAcentral.
GCAAGAGGUUACGAAAGACCUUGUGCUUUUGGAGCGGCUGAUGCCUGAUUAGCUAGUUGGUGGGGUAAAGGCCUACCAAGGCGACGAUCAGUAGUUGGUCUGAGAGGACGACCAGCCACACUGGGACUGAGACACGGCCCAGACUCCUACGGGAGGCAGCAGUGGGGAAUUUUGGACAAUGGGCGCAAGCCUGAUUUCUUAUGCCGCGUGAGUGAAGAAGGCCUUCGGGUUGUAAAGCUCUUUCAGUCGAGAAGAAAAGGUUGCGACUAAUAAUCGCAACUCAUGACGGUAUCGACAGAAGAAGCACCGGCUAACUACGUGCCAGCAGCCGCGUGAAUACGUAGGGUGCGAGCGUUAAUCGGAAUUACUGGGCGUAAAGGGUGCGCAGCCGGCUUUGUUAGUCAGAUGUGAAAUCCCCGGGCUUAACCUGGGAAUUGCGUUUGAAACUACAAUGCUAGA